Magnolia sinica is the source of this 759-nucleotide long non-coding RNA. RefSeq lists it as uncharacterized. Lineage: Eukaryota; Viridiplantae; Streptophyta; Magnoliopsida; Magnoliales; Magnoliaceae. The transcript has 2 exons. The record is from RefSeq and is a predicted model, not a curated record.
GGUUGUACCCAAUCCCAUCAGAUGAAAAGUGACAAACGGUCUAGUAGGCGCCGCUCGUCGACCCUUUGUCCACUGGUUUUUUCCAAGUUGUAGUUAAUGGGGUGUAUGGAGUUUUUCUAUAUAAGGUGGUCCAAGGAAUGGUCGUCCCACUAUCUGUUUCAACGAUUCCUCUCUCCCUUUAUCAUUCUCUCUUCUUUCUUCAUUCUUCUCUCCUCUUCCUUAGUUUUUGGUUUGUUUUUUGGUGGUGGCCAUUUUGAGGACCUUUUGGAUAGUAAGGUGGUGCAAGUCAUGUUCUUAUUGACCAAAGGAGACCAAGUGUGUAGCAAGUGCAAGUUCUUUUGGAGACACAAAGGUGGCACAUGGAUAUGAAGUCAGAGCUUUUUUUCCAUCGUUCUUCCAUUUCUCAUUUCACUUUCUCCUAUUUUGUACAAAUGUUAUUUUUCCCGUGUAUGUCAAGUGUGCAUGGGGAGGAUUUCAUUUUUGGAAGGAGACCUUGCCAUGCAAACAAAUGGUUCCAAAGUGAACCCUUGGGCCCUAUGUGUAUUUUGGUGGGCCCAAGGUUCAUUUUAGUUCCAUCAUCUCUUUUCUUUUCAUGUACUUUUUUCCUUUUUGUUUAUCUUCUUUUCUUUUUUCCUUGAAGAUGGUUGGGCCCACAUGAAGUUUGGGAGGCUCACAUCAGAUUUUUUCUUGCCAAUACCUUGUAAAAUGGUUCCAGUUUACCCGUAGGCAUCAGAGAAUGACCCGUGAACCAUUGGGCCC